Non-coding RNA from Salvia hispanica, 141 nucleotides. NCBI's taxonomy places the organism in Eukaryota, Viridiplantae, Streptophyta, Magnoliopsida, Lamiales, Lamiaceae. The record is from RefSeq and is a predicted model, not a curated record.
AGUAAUGUUGAUUCAUCUUCUGAAGAUAAUCAUAAAAGGCUGCGGAAAGAUGGCAGGCCUGCAGAUGAUUUUGAUGACAUGCAUCUUAGUAAGGGUGAUCUUCGGUACAAAAUCAUGCAAAAGAAAGGACUGAAGCAAAAU